Molecule: ribosomal RNA, 1198 nt
Filed under: Hyalomma scupense
Lineage: Eukaryota; Metazoa; Arthropoda; Arachnida; Ixodida; Ixodidae
Description: 16S ribosomal RNA
Source: RNAcentral
UUUUCUAUUUAUUAUUUAUUAUAAAUUUUUAUAAUAUUAAAUUAUUUAAAAACUAAAUAAUUGUGAAAACUGAAAAGGAAUUUAAAUAAAUUAUUAAAAUAAGAUUCAACGUACCUUUAGCAUUAGGGAUUUUUUAAAAAAAUAAAAAUUUUUAUUUACCCGAAAUAAUUUGAACUAAAAUUUUAAUUUAAUUUAUGUUUCAAUAUAAAUAAAAUUUAAUUUUAGAUGUGAAAUUCUUUUCAAAAAUUGUGAUAUCUGGUUUUUAAAAAAAAAACAUUAAGUUUUUCUAUAAAUAAAAUUAUUGAAAAAUAUUAUAGAAAAUUAAUUUUAGGAUAAGCUAAAAUUAAAAAUUUUAUUGAUAAUACAAAAAAAAUAGAAAGAUUAAAAUUUUCUUUUUUAUUUUAAUAAAUAUAUUUAUACUAAAAUAAGAAAAUACUUAUUAAAUUUAUUGGAUUUAAUAAAAUUUUUAAAUAAAAAUGAAAAUAUAAGUAAAAGUUAUUUUAACAAAAAAUAUUUAAUAAAUUUAAAUGAAAAUAAAAAUAAUUUUUAAGAACUCGGCAAAAAUUUUUCUAACUGUUUAAUAAAAACAAUUCAUUUAGAAAAAAAAAUUCAUUAAAUGUAAUUUCUGCUCAAUGAAUUUAUUUUUAAUUGCUGUAGUAUUUUGACUAUACAAAGGUAUUGUAAUAAGAUUUUAAUUGAAUGCUAAGAGAAUGGAAAUUUAGAAAAAAACUUUUUUGAAAUUAAAAAUUGAAUUUUUUUUAAUUUGUGCAGAAACAAUUAUUUAUAUUAAAGACAAGAAGACCCUAUGAAUUUAAAGAUUAAUUUAAUUAAUAUAAUUAACUGAAUUAAUCUUGAUUGGGGCGAUCAAAAAAUAUUAAUAACUUUUUUAAAUUAAAAUGAUCUAUUAUUAAUAAAAUAAUGAAAUAAAUACUCUAGGGAUAACAGCGUAAUAAUUUUUGAUAGAUCUUAUAGACAAAAUAGUUUGCGACCUCGAUGUUGGAUUAGGAUUCUUUUUUAAUGAAGAUGUUAAAAAAAGAAGUUUGUUCAACUUUUAAAUUCCUACAUGAUCUGAGUUUAGACCGAUGAGAAUCAGGUUGGAUUCUAUCUUAAUAAUUAAUUUUAUUUUAGUUAGUACGAAAGGAAUACUAAAAAUUAAUUAUUAAGAUAAUCAACUUUAUUUGCAUCAAUUUUUGGAAAA